Molecule: ribosomal RNA, 449 nt
Filed under: uncultured bacterium
Lineage: Bacteria
Description: partial 16S ribosomal RNA
Rfam family: Bacterial small subunit ribosomal RNA
Source: RNAcentral
GCCAGACUCCUACGGGAGGCAGCAGUGGGGGAUAUUGCACAAUGGGGGGAACCCUGAUGCAGCGACGCCGCGUGGGUGAAGGAGCGUUUCGGCGCGUAAAGCCCUAUCGGCAGGGAAGAAGGAGGACGGUACCUGACUAAGAAGCCCCGGCUAACUACGUGCCAGCAGCCGCGGUAAUACGUAGGGGGCAAGCGUUAUCCGGAUUUACUGGGUGUAAAGGGAGCGCAGGCGGCGCGCCAAGUCUGAUGUGAAGCCCCGGGGCUCAACCCCGGGCAUGCAUUGGAAACUGGCGGGCUGGAGUGCCGGAGAGGUAAGCGGAAUUCCUAGUGUAGCGGUGAAAUGCGUAGAUAUUAGGAGGAACACCAGUGGCGAAGGCGGCUUACUGGACGGCAACUGACGCUGAGGCUCGAAAGCGUGGGGAGCAAACAGGAUUAGAUACCCGUGUAAAC